Molecule: unclassified non-coding RNA, 328 nt
Filed under: uncultured fungus
Lineage: Eukaryota; Fungi
Description: sequence contains ITS1
Source: RNAcentral
UUAACUAUUAUAAUUUACUCAGACGACACUAUAACAAGAGUUUGGGUCCUCUGGCGGGCACGGUCAGCCGAAGCCGACGCCGAAGCGGCCCGCCAAAGCAACAAAGAAGGUAUACACGGGUGUUAGUUCUCCCUAAAGGCGCAUUGCUGCAACCAUCGCAAGAGUCAGAGCCAGCGUCCGAUAUUACACCGGCGGCCGGAUGACCCUGCCCCCAUCCUUCCAACCCAUAGGGCUGGCCGACUUGAAGGCAGUUAAAUACGAGGGGUGAUCCGAAUCUUUCGAACGGACACAACUAUUAAUGAUCCUUCCGCAGGUUCACCUACGGAAA